RNAcentral lists this ribosomal RNA (253 nucleotides) under uncultured bacterium. RNAcentral describes it as "partial 16S ribosomal RNA". It matches the Rfam family "Bacterial small subunit ribosomal RNA", at positions 524 to 776 of the family's 1533-position model. The record is from RNAcentral. RNAcentral also lists the same sequence under 1 other name.
UACGUAGGGUGCAAGCGUUGUUCGGAAUCACUGGGCGUAAAGAGAGCGUAGGCGGGAUUGUAAGUUAGAAGUUUAAUACAAGGGCUCAACCCUUGGCUGGCUUUUAAUACUGCAGUUCUUGAAUGUGGGAGAGGGCGAUGGAAUUCCAGGUGUAGCGGUGGAAUGCGUAGAUAUCUGGAAGAACACCAGUAGCGAAGGCGGUCGCCUGGCCUAACAUUGACGCUGAGGCUCGAAAGCUAGGGGAGCAAACAGG